This 253-nucleotide ribosomal RNA is filed under the name uncultured bacterium. RNAcentral describes it as "partial 16S ribosomal RNA". It matches the Rfam family "Bacterial small subunit ribosomal RNA", at positions 524 to 776 of the family's 1533-position model. The record is from RNAcentral.
UACAGAGGGGGCAAGCGUUGUUCGGAAUUACUGGGCGUAAAGGGCGCGUAGGCGGCGUGCUAAGUCGAACGUGAAAUCCCCGGGCUCAACCCGGGAACUGCGUCCGAAACUGGCAUGCUUGGAUCCGGGAGAGGGAUGUGGAAUUCCAGGUGUAGCGGUGAAAUGCGUAGAUAUCUGGAGGAACAUCGGUGGCGAAGGCGGCAUCCUGGACCGGUAUUGACGCUGAGGCGCGAAAGCCAGGGGAGCAAACGGG